GGCUUCGUGCAGUGGCAAUAUCAUAGCCAAUGAGGUUUAUCCAAGGCGCGAUUAUUGCUAAUUGAAAACUUCGCAGUAGCCCACCGUGACGACUUGCAAUAUAGUUGGCACUGGCAAUUUUUGACAGUCCACGGA
Nycticebus coucang (slow loris) is the source of this 135-nucleotide small nuclear RNA. RefSeq annotates it as U4 spliceosomal RNA. The record is from RefSeq and is a predicted model, not a curated record. NCBI's taxonomy places the organism in Eukaryota, Metazoa, Chordata, Mammalia, Primates, Lorisidae. The transcript has a single exon.